Molecule: ribosomal RNA, 468 nt
Filed under: uncultured organism
Description: bacterial SSU rRNA
Rfam family: Bacterial small subunit ribosomal RNA
Source: RNAcentral
GAUGAACGCUAGCGGCAGGCUUAAUACAUGCAAGUCAAGGGGCCAGCAAUGGCACCGGCGGACGGGUGAGUAACGCGUACACAACGUACCUUUAACUGGGGGAUAGCAUCUGGAAACGGGUGGUAAUACCGCAUGUGGUUGUGAGGAGGCAUCUCCUUGCAACUAAAACUUAGGUGGUUAGAGAUCGGUGUGCGUCUGAUUAGCUAGUUGGUAGGGUAGAGGCCUACCAAGGCGACGAUCAGUAGGGGGCGUGAGAGCGUGAACCCCCACACGGGUACUGAGACACGGACCCGACUCCUACGGGAGGCAGCAGUAAGGAAUAUUGGUCAAUGGAGGGAACUCUGAACCAGCCAUGCCGCGUGAAGGAAGAAGGCGCUACGCGUUGUAAACUUCUUUUGGGUGGGACGAAAAUAAUCCAUUUAUGGAUAGCUGACGGUACCAUCAGAAUAAGCACCGGCUAACUCCGUG